GAGUUUGAUCAUGGCUCAGAUUGAACGCUGGCGGCAGGCCUAACACAUGCAAGUCGAACGGUAACAGGAAACAGCUUGCUGUUUCGCUGACGAGUGGCGGACGGGUGAGUAAUGUCUGGGAAACUGCCUGAUGGAGGGGGAUAACUACUGGAAACGGUAGCUAAUACCGCAUAACGUCGCAAGACCAAAGAGGGGGACCCUCGGGCCUCUUGCCAUCGGAUGUGCCCAGAUGGGAUUAGCUUGUUGGUGGGGUAACGGCUCACCAAGGCGACGAUCCCUAGCUGGUCUGAGAGGAUGACCAGCCACACUGGAACUGAGACACGGUCCAGACUCCUACGGGAGGCAGCAGUGGGGAAUAUUGCACAAUGGGCGCAAGCCUGAUGCAGCCAUGCCGCGUGUAUGAAGAAGGCCUUCGGGUUGUAAAGUACUUUCAGCGGGGAGGAAGGGAGUAAAGUUAAUACCUUUGCUCAUUGACGUUACCCGCAGAAGAAGCACCGGCUAACUCCGUGCCAGCAGCCGCGGUAAUACGGAGGGUGCAAGCGUUAAUCGGAAUUACUGGGCGUAAAGCGCACGCAGGCGGUUUGUUAAGUCAGAUGUGAAAUCCCCGGGCGCAACCUGGGAACUGCAUCUGAUACUGGCAAGCUUGAGUCUCGUAGAGGGGGGUAGAAUUCCAGGUGUAGCGGUGAAAUGCGUAGAGAUCUGGAGGAAUACCGGUGGCGAAGGCGGCCCCCUGGACGAAGACUGACGCUCAGGUGCGAAAGCGUGGGGAGCAAACAGGAUUAGAUACCCUGGUAGUCCACGCCGUAAACGAUGUCGACUUGGAGGUUGUGCCCUUGAGGCGUGGCUUCCGGAGCUAACGCGUUAAGUCGACCGCCUGGGGAGUACGGCCGCAAGGUUAAAACUCAAAUGAAUUGACGGGGGCCCGCACAAGCGGUGGAGCAUGUGGUUUAAUUCGAUGCAACGCGAAGAACCUUGCCUGGUCUUGACAUCCACGGAAGUUUUCAGAGAUGAGAAUGUGCCUUCGGGAACCGUGAGACAGGUGCUGCAUGGCUGUCGUCAGCUCGUGUUGUGAAAUGUUGGGUUAAGUCCCGCAACGAGCGCAACCCUUAUCCUUUGUUGCCAGCGGUCCGGCCGGGAACUCAAAGGAGACUGCCAGUGAUAAACUGGAGGAAGGUGGGGAUGACGUCAAGUCAUCAUGGCCCUUACGACCAGGGCUACACACGUGCUACAAUGGCGCAUACAAAGAGAAGCGACCUCGCGAGAGCAAGCGGACCUCAUAAAGUGCGUCGUAGUCCGGAUUGGAGUCUGCAACUCGACUCCAUGAAGUCGGAAUCGCUAGUAUCGUGGAUCAGAAUGCCACGGUGAAUACGUUCCCGGGCCUUGUACACACCGCCCGUCACACCAUGGGAGUGGGUUGCAAAAGAAGUAGGUAGCUUAACCUUCGGGAGGGCGCUUACCACUUUGUGAUUCAUGACUGGGGUGAAGUCGUAACAAGGUA
RNAcentral lists this ribosomal RNA (1498 nucleotides) under metagenome. RNAcentral's name for it is "bacterial SSU rRNA". It matches the Rfam family "Bacterial small subunit ribosomal RNA". The record is from RNAcentral.